RNAcentral lists this ribosomal RNA (436 nucleotides) under uncultured bacterium. RNAcentral describes it as "partial 16S ribosomal RNA". It matches the Rfam family "Bacterial small subunit ribosomal RNA", at positions 29 to 507 of the family's 1533-position model. The record is from RNAcentral.
AGCGAACGCUGGCGGCAGGCUUAACACAUGCCAGUCGAGCGGGCAUCCUUGUGGUGUCAGCGGCAGACGGGUGAGUAACGCGUGGGGACGUGCCCUUCGGUUCGGAAUAACUCAGGGAAACUUGAGCUAAUACCGGAUACGCCCUUUUGGGGAAAGGUUUACUGCCGAAGGAUCGGCCCGCGUCUGAUUAGCUAGUUGGUGAGGUUAUGGCUCACCAAGGCGACGAUCAGUAGCUGGUCUGAGAGGAUGAUCAGCCACACUGGGACUGAGACACGGCCCAGACUCCUACGGGAGGCAGCAGUGGGGAAUAUUGGACAAUGGGGGCAACCCUGAUCCAGCCAUGCCGCGUGAGUGAUGACGGCCUUAGGGUUGUAAAGCUCUUUUCUCCGGGACGAUAAUGACGGUACCGGAGGAAUAAGCCCCGGCUAACUUCGUG